UACUUAUCUGGAUGGAGUCUAUUUGGUCCAU
Molecule: non-coding RNA, 31 nt
Filed under: Rattus norvegicus (Norway rat)
Lineage: Eukaryota; Metazoa; Chordata; Mammalia; Rodentia; Muridae
Source: RNAcentral